UCGAGGAUCUUCGGCAAUGGGCGCAAGCCUGACCGAGCGACGCCGCGUGUGCGAUGAAGGCCUUCGGGUUGUAAAGCACUGUCGAGGGGGAGAAAACCCCGCAAGGGGUUGAUCUAUCCCUGGAGGAAGCACGGGCUAAGUUCGUGCCAGCAGCCGCGGUAAGACGAACCGUGCGAACGUUGUUCGGAAUCACUGGGCUUAAAGGGCGCGUAGGCGGGCUGCCAAGUCUGGGGUGAAAUCCCACGGCUCAACCGUGGAACUGCCUCGGAUACUGGCGGCCUCGAGGGGGGUAGGGGCAUGCGGAACUGUGGGUGGAGCGGUGAAAUGCGUUGAUAUCCACAGGAACUCCGGUGGCGAAAGCGGCGUGCUGGACCUCUUCUGACGCUGAGGCGCGAAAGCUAGGGGAGCAAACG
This 413-nucleotide ribosomal RNA is filed under the name uncultured Gemmata sp. RNAcentral describes it as "bacterial SSU rRNA". It matches the Rfam family "Bacterial small subunit ribosomal RNA", at positions 355 to 774 of the family's 1533-position model. Lineage: Bacteria; Pseudomonadati; Planctomycetota; Planctomycetia; Gemmatales; Gemmataceae. The record is from RNAcentral.